GAUGAACGCUGGCGGCGUGCCUAAUACAUGCAAGUCGAGCGAACGGACGAGAAGCUUGCUUUUCUGAUGUUAGCGGCGGACGGGUGAGUAACACGUGGAUAACCUACCUAUAAGACUGGGAUAACUUCGGGAAACCGGAGCUAAUACCGGAUAAUAUUUUGAACCGCAUGGUUCAAAAGUGAUAGACGGUCUUGCUGUCACUUAUAGAUGGAUCCGCGCUGCAUUAGCUAGUUGGUAAGGUAACGGCUUACCAAGGCAACGAUGCAUAGCCGACCUGAGAGGGUGAUCGGCCACACUGGAACUGAGACACGGUCCAGACUCCUACGGGAGGCAGCAGUAGGGAAUCUUCCGCAAUGGGCGAAAGCCUGACGGAGCAACGCCGCGUGAGUGAUGAAGGUCUUCGGAUCGUAAAACUCUGUUAUUAGGGAAGAACAUAUGUGUAAGUAACUGUGCACAUCUUGACGGUACCUAAUCAGAAAGCAACGGCUAACUACGUG
RNAcentral lists this ribosomal RNA (497 nucleotides) under uncultured bacterium. RNAcentral describes it as "partial 16S ribosomal RNA". It matches the Rfam family "Bacterial small subunit ribosomal RNA", at positions 28 to 507 of the family's 1533-position model. The record is from RNAcentral.